GCGAGGCCAGAGGCGGCAGUUUAAACUAAAGAUCACAGGACAGGGAGGAGCCACAUCACAACAACAAUGCGCUACUUCUCUCGGUUUUCCCCAGUCUCGCUCUCAAUCUCUUGCUCUCCCACACACAGAUCUACCUACAGGGCACCUCCGAGCACAACAUGAUUAUCAGGGGGAAACAAGUCAGGUAGGGAUGACCAGACAUACCUGUUUUCUGGCUUUUGGUGUCCUGUCCCUGACUGGAGCUGUCCCUGUUUUACAGUACAUUUGUGCAUUUAAAACACCACAAAUAGGAGGCUGGUUACCAGAGCAAUCGUACCGGAAUAAGGUAUGUAUCUGUUUUGUGCUGUCCUGCAUACAACAUUGAAGUUUCAGUAUGAUUUCAAUUAACAGAUCUCAUUAGAUUGAAGCUCUUGAGGGAAUCUCAUCUUGAUGCAUUAAUCCUGUUUUAUGAUUAUAAUCAAAGAUGAGAGCUUGUGCCAUCUUUAUUCUAACCCAUCUAUUUAACCUGUGAUGUAGUCUUUAGUCUUUCAUUACGCUUAUGCACUGCUGCAGGCUGUAAUUCGCCUUUUCACUUCCCUCCUCCCUCAUCAACCGCAGCUGCUUGAAUGGAUACUUAAUCUGUGCACCCCACCCAGUGUCCCGUAUCACAAAGCAAGCAUCUUGUAGAGAUGUUAGAUCUUUAGAAGAUGAUAACUUUAUUAAUCAGGUGAGAAAUACAGCAGAUGACGUCACUUCCUGCUAGCUCUGUUGUCGCUGCCAUAAUGCAUGAUGAAAUUUCCAUGAUGGUGGUUUUAUAUCACAUAUAUUCACACAUUUACCAGGUCUUCCUACAUAAUGCAUUAUGCAUUUUUAUAUGUACCAAUAAUAUAAUAUAAUAUAAUAUAAUAUAAUAUAAUAU
Cyprinus carpio (common carp) is the source of this 898-nucleotide long non-coding RNA. Lineage: Eukaryota; Metazoa; Chordata; Actinopteri; Cypriniformes; Cyprinidae. The record is from Ensembl.